GAUGAACGCUGGCGGCGUGCCUAAUACAUGCAAGUCGAGCGAACAGACGAGGAGCUUGCUCCUCUGACGUUAGCGGCGGACGGGUGAGUAACACGUGGAUAACCUACCUAUAAGACUGGGAUAACUUCGGGAAACCGGAGCUAAUACCGGAUAAUAUAUUGAACCGCAUGGUUCAAUAGUGAAAGACGGUUUUGCUGUCACUUAUAGAUGGAUCCGCGCCGCAUUAGCUAGUUGGUAAGGUAACGGCUUACCAAGGCAACGAUGCGUAGCCGACCUGAGAGGGGGAGCGGCCAAACUGGAACGGGAACCCGGUCCAGACGCCAAGGGGGGGCGGCAGGGGGAAAUUUUCCGAAAGGGGGGAAAGCCGGACGGAGCAACGCCGGGGGGGUGAUGAAGGUUUUCGGAUCGUAAACCUUUUUUAUUGGGAAAAAAAAAAUGUGUAAGUAACUUUGCCCUUUUUAAGGGGACCAAAUCAGAAAGCCCCGGUAAACUACGU
RNAcentral lists this ribosomal RNA (496 nucleotides) under uncultured bacterium. Its description in RNAcentral is "partial 16S ribosomal RNA". It matches the Rfam family "Bacterial small subunit ribosomal RNA", at positions 28 to 506 of the family's 1533-position model. The record is from RNAcentral.